RNAcentral lists this transfer RNA (76 nucleotides) under Clostridioides difficile. RNAcentral's name for it is "tRNA-Phe". It matches the Rfam family "tRNA". Rfam says of the family: Transfer RNA (tRNA) molecules are approximately 80 nucleotides in length. Their secondary structure includes four short double-helical elements and three loops (D, anti-codon, and T loops). Further hydrogen bonds mediate the characteristic L-shaped molecular structure. tRNAs have two regions of fundamental functional importance: the anti-codon, which is responsible for specific mRNA codon recognition, and the 3' end, to which the tRNAs corresponding amino acid is attached (by aminoacyl-tRNA synthetases). tRNAs cope with the degeneracy of the genetic code in two manners: having more than one tRNA (with a specific anti-codon) for a particular amino acid; and 'wobble' base-pairing, i.e. permitting non-standard base-pairing at the 3rd anti-codon position. The record is from RNAcentral. Lineage: Bacteria; Bacillati; Bacillota; Clostridia; Peptostreptococcales; Peptostreptococcaceae.
GCCCAGAUAGCUCAGUCGGUAGAGCAGGGGACUGAAAAUUCCCGUGUCGGUGGUUCGAUUCCGCCUCUGGGCACCA